This 1014-nucleotide ribosomal RNA is filed under the name Lapidilactobacillus dextrinicus. RNAcentral's name for it is "bacterial SSU rRNA". It matches the Rfam family "Bacterial small subunit ribosomal RNA", at positions 464 to 1478 of the family's 1533-position model. The record is from RNAcentral. Lineage: Bacteria; Bacillati; Bacillota; Bacilli; Lactobacillales; Lactobacillaceae.
AGAUAGUGACGGUAUCAAUCAGAAAGGCACGGCUAACUACGUGCCAGCAGCCGCGGUAAUACGUAGGUGGCAAGCGUUGUCCCGGAUUUAUUGGGCGUAAAGCGAGUGCAGGCGGUUUUUUAAGUCUGAUGUGAAAGCCUUCGGCUUAACCGAAGAAAUGCAUUGGAAACUGGGAAACUUGAGUGCAGAAGAGGAGAGUGGAACUCCAUGUGUAGCGGUGAAAUGCGUAGAUAUAUGGAAGAACACCAGUGGCGAAGGCGGCUCUCUGGUCUGUAACUGACGCUGAGGCUCGAAAAGCGUGGGUAGCAAACAGGAUUAGAUACCCUGGUAGUCCACGCCGUAAACGAUGAGUGCUAAGUGUUGGAGGGUUUCCGCCCUUCAGUGCUGCAGCUAACGCAUUAAGCACUCCGCCUGGGGAGUACGACCGCAAGGUUGAAACUCAAAGGAAUUGACGGGGGCCCGCACAAGCGGUGGAGCAUGUGGUUUAAUUCGAAGCAACGCGAAGAACCUUACCAGGUCUUGACAUCUAGCGCCAAUCCUAGAGAUAGGACGUUCCCUUCGGGGACGCUAAGACAGGUGGUGCAUGGUUGUCGUCAGCUCGUGUCGUGAGAUGUUGGGUUAAGUCCCGCAACGAGCGCAACCCUUAUUAUCAGUUGCCAGCAUUCAGUUGGGCACUCUGGUGAGACUGCCGGUGACAAACCGGAGGAAGGUGGGGAUGACGUCAAAUCAUCAUGCCCCUUAUGACCUGGGCUACACACGUGCUACAAUGGCUAGUACAACGAGUUGCGAGACCGCGAGGUCAAGCUAAUCUCUAAAAGCUAGUCUCAGUUCGGAUUGUAGGCUGCAACUCGCCUACAUGAAGUUGGAAUCGCUAGUAAUCGCGGAUCAGCACGCCGCGGUGAAUACGUUCCCGGGCCUUGUACACACCGCCCGUCACACCAUGAGAGUUUGUAACACCCGAAGCCGGUGGAGUAACCCGUAAGGGAGCUAGCCGUCUAAGGUGACAGAAAUUGG